Molecule: small RNA, 124 nt
Filed under: Marmota monax (woodchuck)
Lineage: Eukaryota; Metazoa; Chordata; Mammalia; Rodentia; Sciuridae
Source: RNAcentral
GCCAGGUGCAGUGGUGCACAACUGUAAUCCCAGCAGCUCGGAGGCUGAGGCAGGAGGAUCGUGAGUCCAAGGCCAGCCUCAGCAAAAGCGAGGCUCUAAGCAACUCAGUGAGAUCCUGUUUUUA